Long non-coding RNA from Cololabis saira (Pacific saury), 225 nucleotides. RefSeq lists it as uncharacterized. The record is from RefSeq and is a predicted model, not a curated record. Lineage: Eukaryota; Metazoa; Chordata; Actinopteri; Beloniformes; Belonidae. The transcript has 3 exons.
GGCAAUAAGUCUGACCGUCGUAUCGGUCCUUGUUUGUGUUAUCAGGAAAAAUGUCUGUUACUGUUGCAAAGCUUCUGUGUCUCUACGAGCCAAAGCUGAAAUAAUCAGUGGUGAACAGGAAUAUCGACAGGAGCUAAAUCAGGAAUCCGUGUUUUAUUCUGAAGUCGUCUUUAUCCGGAGGAAAGCUUACAAAGCAGGGAGGAGAAAUGUCCAAGUAUAGGAGGA